RNAcentral lists this small nuclear RNA (184 nucleotides) under Moschus moschiferus (Siberian musk deer). RNAcentral's name for it is "U4 spliceosomal RNA (ENSMMSG00000007568.1)". The stretch from base 1 to 122 matches the Rfam family "U4 spliceosomal RNA". Rfam says of the family: U4 small nuclear RNA (U4 snRNA) is a component of the major U2-dependent spliceosome. The structure of U4 snRNA from yeast and human has been reported. Lineage: Eukaryota; Metazoa; Chordata; Mammalia; Artiodactyla; Moschidae. The record is from RNAcentral.
AGCUUUGCGCAGUGGCGGGAUCGUAGCCAAUGAGGUUUAUUUGAGGCACGAUUAUUGCUAAUUGAAAAAAAUGUACCAGUUUCAGUAUUACCUUUUCACUCAUUGCUGGUCCAAUAGAAAUGCACAAACAGCAUUUAGAGGCAUCUUUUAAAAAUCUUUCAUGUAAACAAUAUGCCACCAAAGA